GAUGAACGCUAGCUACAGGCUUAACACAUGCAAGUCGAGGGGAAACGACAUCGAAAGCUUGCUUUUGAUGGGCGUCGACCGGCGCACGGGUGAGUAACGCGUAUCCAACCUGCCCACCACUUGGGGAUAACCUUGCGAAAGUAAGACUAAUACCCGAUGAUAUCUCUAGACGACAUCUGAAAGGGAUUAAAGAUUUAUCGGUGAUGGAUGGGGAUGCGUCUGAUUAGCUUGUUGGCGGGGUAACGGCCCACCAAGGCAACGAUCAGUAGGGGUUCUGAGAGGAAGGUCCCCCCACAUUGGAACUGAGACACGGUCCAAACUCCUACGGGAGGCAGCAGUGAGGAAUAUUGGUCAAUGGACGAGAGUCUGAACCAGCCAAGUAGCGUGCAGGAUGACGGCCCUCCGGGUUGUAAACCCUCUUUUGUUUGGGAAUAAAGUGCGGACGUGUCCCGCAUUGCAUGUACCAUUUGAAUAGGACCGGCUAAUUCCGUG
RNAcentral lists this ribosomal RNA (492 nucleotides) under uncultured bacterium. RNAcentral describes it as "bacterial SSU rRNA". It matches the Rfam family "Bacterial small subunit ribosomal RNA", at positions 28 to 507 of the family's 1533-position model. The record is from RNAcentral.